GGAUGUGAGGGCAAUCUGGCUGUGACGCCGGCUGUCCCACUGAUCACCAGGGCUGAUUCGGCCAAUCUGCUGGGCGAGCCGGAGCCCCUUCCUCUCUCCCUGCUUCGUGUCAUCAUCCCAGAGUCAAGGACUUGGUCACAGAGGACAACUACUGUGACAGAAGAUGACAGUUUCCCUGGUCAAGCAUAUAGUAGUGCUCCCUUGCUAGAACCUCCAAACAAGCUCUCAAGAGAGAAGAGAUAAUAUCAGGAACCCAAAUGACAUCAGACUUUUCCACAGCCAAAAAUACUGAAAAGCCUGGGAAAUACCUACACCAUGCUGAAGGAAACCUAUUU
This 335-nucleotide small nuclear RNA is filed under the name Octodon degus (degu). Its description in RNAcentral is "7SK RNA (ENSODEG00000023009.1)". The stretch from base 1 to 287 matches the Rfam family "7SK RNA". Rfam says of the family: 7SK was discovered as an abundant small nuclear RNA in the mid-70s but a possible function has only recently been suggested. Two independent studies have found that 7SK RNA binds the CDK9/cyclin T complex (known as elongation factor P-TEFb). The record is from RNAcentral. Lineage: Eukaryota; Metazoa; Chordata; Mammalia; Rodentia; Octodontidae.